This 284-nucleotide transfer-messenger RNA is filed under the name Vibrio parahaemolyticus. RNAcentral's name for it is "partial transfer-messenger RNA". It matches the Rfam family "transfer-messenger RNA", at positions 82 to 345 of the family's 374-position model. From Rfam's summary of the family: Bacterial tmRNA, also known as 10Sa RNA or SsrA, is named for its dual tRNA and mRNA-like properties. Its role is to liberate the mRNA from a stalled ribosome. To accomplish this part of the tmRNA is used as a reading frame that ends in a translation stop signal. The record is from RNAcentral. Lineage: Bacteria; Pseudomonadati; Pseudomonadota; Gammaproteobacteria; Vibrionales; Vibrionaceae.
CUUUUAGUUGCCAACGAUGACAACUACGGUUCGGACUUCGCUAUCGCCGCUUAAUUGGCUUUAGUUGUCGUUCUACAGCCGCCUAAGGCGAACCCCCGAACCUACUUGUGCCCGUGCUCGUAGGUGUAGGGUCAUUAUCACGGAACCAUCGGUAGUGGCUGCCUGUCAGCUACCGGUUAGAUAAAGCAGGCUGGUUUUCAGGUGCGCUUUGCCAACCGUGCUGCCUGGGAAUGAGAUCUAACGGAGGGCUAAGCAUGUAGUGCUGGGGAUGGAGUGCUUCCGGA